GACGAACGCUGGCGGCGUGCUUAACACAUGCAAGUCGAACGGAAAGGCCCUGCUUUUGUGGGGUGCUCGAGUGGCGAACGGGUGAGUAACACGUGAGUAACCUGCCCUUGACUUUGGGAUAACUUCAGGAAACUGGGGCUAAUACCGGAUAGGAGCUCCUGCUGCAUGGGGGGGGUUGGAAAGUUUCGGCGGUUGGGGAUGGACUCGCGGCUUAUCAGCUUGUUGGGGGGGUGGUGGCUUACCAAGGGUUUGACGGGUAGCCGGCCUGGGAGGGUGACCGGCCACAUUGGGACUGAGAUACGGCCCAGACUCCUACGGGAGGCAGCAGUGGGGAAUAUUGCACAAUGGGCGGAAGCCUGAUGCAGCAACGCCGCGUGCGGGAUGACGGCCUUCGGGUUGUAAACCGCUUUCGCCUGUGACGAAGCGUGAGUGACGGUAAUGGGUAAAGAAGCACCGGCUAACUACGUG
This 468-nucleotide ribosomal RNA is filed under the name uncultured bacterium. RNAcentral describes it as "partial 16S ribosomal RNA". It matches the Rfam family "Bacterial small subunit ribosomal RNA", at positions 28 to 507 of the family's 1533-position model. The record is from RNAcentral.